RNAcentral lists this microRNA precursor (141 nucleotides) under Otolemur garnettii (small-eared galago). RNAcentral describes it as "miRNA (ENSOGAG00000021269.1)". The record is from RNAcentral. Lineage: Eukaryota; Metazoa; Chordata; Mammalia; Primates; Galagidae.
CAGGUGGCCCAGUUAAAUUCGAAUUUCAGCUAAACAAUGAAUACUAUUUUAGAAUAAAAUGUCUUGCACUAUUUGGGACAUACUUAUGCUAAAAAUUAUUCAUCAUUUAGCUGAAAUUCAAACUUAACUGAGCAUCCUGUA